UAACGGAGCCUCAGGUCUAAAGUCAUGAGGACAGUAAGUUUCGGUUUCACUAAGGAUAGCAUCUUAGCCUUAGGUGUGUUUCAGCUCCAGACAUAUUGAGGCAGAGCACCCCACAGGCUAUGGGACCAAGCCUCGGGGACCAGCAGGAUAGCGCUAUGGGUGAAUGUGGGUGACUGAUCAGAGCAAAGGAGCAAAAUUUAAAAGUAGACAUCUCUCUUGGGUAUGGUCCUAGUACUAUGGGUGAUGAUGCUGUAAAUUCUGGAUAUAAUCUAAAUGAAUGGUCAGAUAAGGAUUUGAAGCUGAACUUGAAGGUGAAGAAGAGUGAGCAGAAGAACCUCUGGAAACUGCCCUACGUGGCUGAUCUGGGGGUGUUACAGAAUCCAUUCUGCUGGAAUUUGGAAAAUUUUUACUAACCAACUUAUUUCUCUGUUUUUCUAUAUAUGAUGAAGUUUUGCAAAAGUCUGAAAAUAUGAUAAGAUACAUUUUUUAGAAUGCUGAUUAGUACCCAGGACACUAAUAUGACUCAACGGAAGAGUCAUGGAUCUACUUUAGCCUGGCUUAUAUCUGCCAUUGAAUUCAGUACUGGGAAGCCCAGGAUCUGUAUUAUGGAAAUAACCCUUUCUCAACAUUUAAACCAGCUACUAAUGAACUGGGUCUGAAUUCCACGUCAAAGUUUCCUAUAGAUUGAUCAGAAUUUUACUUAGCCUCAGUUCAUUAAUCUGCUGGCACCUUUGGUGGGGGGCAGGUGAGGAAGCACAGCGUUGUCUUUCAAGGAAGCAAAAACUGCUCCAGACCUAAAAUGUCCCUAAUUAACGAUAAAUUUAUUAGAAAUUUAAGGGAUGGAGGAGUGGGCUUCAUUCCAAGACUACCCAGAAGUAAUUCUGGAAGAAAAAUAUAGUGCCUUAACUGUCUACACUUAUUUAAAAUUAGACAUGCAAACAUACUAGAGUGUUGUUUUCUCUUUAAAUUUAUAACAACUUAAUGUGUGUUUUUUAAAAUAAAAUUUGUAUACCUUGAUACUGAAGAGUGAGAAACUGGAAGCUUUUCUGCUAAGAUCAGGAAAAAAGUAAGAAUAAAUGUCCCCUCUCACUAUUCCUUUUCAACAUUAUACUAAAAGUCCUAGCAAAUGCAGUAAGACAAAAAAUGGAAAUAAAAUGUAUAAGACUGAGAAGGAAGAAAUAAAACUAUCUUUGUUCAUAAAUGA
Molecule: long non-coding RNA, 1204 nt
Organism: Pteropus alecto (black flying fox)
Lineage: Eukaryota; Metazoa; Chordata; Mammalia; Chiroptera; Pteropodidae
Exons: 4
Source: RefSeq, a predicted model, not a curated record